AGUGCGCAGUUGGGUGCAUUAUUUGGUGACAUCCAGUGCUAACUGUUUUUUCAAGGCCACCGAGUGGAGUGAGGGUGAGUAGUGUGGCAUCAGCCUUCCGUUUAUUUAGCUGGUUCUAGGAUCUCCUUUGUUGCUGCAUCUUGAUCUCCUGCUUUGCUGUAACUAUGUUCUGCUGCUUGAUGUUUGUUUCCUUCUUUCUAGCUACAUGCUUAUUCUUUCUAGCCACAUGCAUGUUUUCCUUUUGCUGUGGGAAAUAGUUCAGUUAUAUUUAUCAGUAGCAUCUCUAUGUUUAUAGAUACAUACUAGGAACAUGCUUAUUUAGUGUGGCCUUCUCUUUUUUAUGCAAGAAGUGUGCCUUCUCUAAUCUGACAAUCAUCUUAUUUGUUGUUCUAAAUAAUUACUGCAGGAUGGAGCAGCAGGCAUAGAUGAAAUCUACUGCAAAUUUCUAUUGGUUGCGGCAUCUUCCGCUGAGUAACUCUACAAAACAGCCUGCUAGCAUUGAUUCUUGCAAUAAAAAAAUAAGUCUGGCAUCAUUCAUAAAAAGCUUAUAGACAUAGAUAAUUUCUUAAUACUGCACUGGUUCUCACCAGUGAGAUUGUAGAUGUGGUAUUUUGAGAAUACCAGUGUAAUUCACUGGUCCAAAAGCUCCAUUUCUUAAUGUGUUUUUGCAGAAUGCUACCAGUAAUGUUUUUCUUUUCCUUAAUGUACAAACAUAUCUAUUAGAUAUGAUUUUGGAUCUGAACUUUUCCCUGUCUGCAGCUCACAUUGUGGUAUGGUCAUGGUAAAGCAAAAGGAAAAGAUGUUUAAACUUUUUUUGGGCGUCAUACAUGAAAAGUACCUUUAUUUCCAUCGAGCUUAAUUACUAAGAAAAUGUUACCACUAUUUCCUUACUAAUAAACCUAAAUGUUCUGAAAGUUCGGUCUCUUGCUCUCUUUGCUUAUGAAUUGGACACUUUCCCUUUCUUUAGUCCUUACACGGUUCCACCUCGCUUUGACUUCAUACUUUGAUGGUGUUUGUAGGUAUGAAGACUUGAAGAGUGGUCAUAAUGUUACUUAAAGGAGGCCUCAACUUGCACCAAAUGCAUGGGCAUGUGCAACAGCAACUUAUGUAGGUGAGUAGGUAUUUAUGCUUAGUUUUGACUUGAGUACAAAAAAGAGCUUGCUGACAUAUACAAGAGAAUAGGCUACCCAUUCUUGAAUUGAAUCAGAUUGGUAGACUAAACCACUGUGGUGUACUCUUUGCUGCUGAGUUAUUACAAUCCAACUGAAAAUAAGGGGAAAACAAACAUGAUCCUGCCAUUUAAAUUAUCUCAUGUUUGUGGAGAAAAGUUGCAUAGUUAGCUAUUGUAAAAUACUAUCGACCCAGUUUUUGUUCAAUAGACGUCCCUUCUUCGAAUGUAGCUUGAACCUGCGCAAGGGCAUGGUAGCAUGCUCAUUCUAUUUUUUUUACUAAGGUGGUUACACUUUCCAACUUUUUGCUGAAAGAUAGUCAAUUUAGUCAUGAGCUAUAGCGGCGUUUCUGUUUACUGAAUUUUGUUUUGCAGUUCCCUUCUCUUGAAUGUUUAUUCAAAUGUGCCUAAUGUUUUUUUCAGGUUUCUAAAAACCAAUAAAUGCUGCUCUCAAAUCAGUUAGGAGGCUGAAGGUAGUAGCUUACUGAACUCUCAUUUCUGGAAAAAUCUGGAGAUGUCUUGGUAUGGAGUUUCAUGAUCAACUUGCUCCGGCAUAGUUAGUCUUUCUAGACUAAUUGUUUGUCAGUAUCUAUUCUAUACAUGUGUUUGAUUGGUUGUGCAAACAUGCAUGCAUUGUUCUGUGUGGAAAUUGCUUUAUCCGGUCUGUUCUAUAGCAUUGUUUCCAGUGGCUGUUUAGCACAUAUAUUUAGAUAGUUGCAUACGCAUGCUUGGUUCUGCCAGAAAAUUAUCUUCCCUGAUAUGUUUUUAGAUGCUAUUUGGUAUACAUGUUUGUCUUUGUCAUGUUUAUGUUGAGUUGUGGGUUCCAAAGGUAUUUAUGAUGAUCGUUUGCAUGGUGGGUCAUGUCAGCGAUGUGCAUUGCAUAUUCAUGAUUCAAACUCUUUGUUGGGUAUAUGAAGUUGUUUUUGAAUGGCCCAUGAUUCGUUUUUAUUAGUAUUUUAGUUUAAGCAUUUCUCCAGAGAAUCUUGAUAUCCAGCUGUAUAUAUAUCCAGUCAUGUUUUUUUACUCUGACCGAUUUCUUUUUUUUUGUUUUACAGUUUGUACAAUCUCUAAAGAUGGUGCUCCAUUGUUCUGUUAAUCAAGAUUUGUUCCCUCCUUUCUUACUAGCUGAUACGUGAUGACCGUUUGCAUGGGGUUUAUGUUAGCUAUAUUCUAUUCAUGAUUCAAACUGUUUGUUGGGUAAUUUAGUUUAGACAUUGUGUCCUGAGAAUCUUGAUAUCUAGCUGUAUUGGUAUAGUAUAGUUUGUGAUUUUUCGCUCUGAAUUUAUAUAUCCACUCAGGUUGGGAUAGGUUACGAGUAUUCUUAGUGUGGAAACAGCGACAGUGCUGCACUUUCAUCAUAUGAUGAUAUGCCAACCUUGCGCCAUUUGGCUCUAUGUUACCUGAAUAAGAUAACAAAAUACACAUGCUCAAGUAUAUGUUUUCAAAGUUGAAUUAUCCUUCAUUUUCCAUUUUAAAUGGUUUGAAUAAGUAUCCUAAGUGGCUGCUAAAACUUACUUCUAC
Molecule: long non-coding RNA, 2689 nt
Filed under: Triticum aestivum (bread wheat)
Lineage: Eukaryota; Viridiplantae; Streptophyta; Magnoliopsida; Poales; Poaceae
Description: long non-coding RNA (TAES_LNC020691)
Source: RNAcentral